AGUUCGUCUCGCGAGCUUCGACGCGACGUUACGUGUUGUCGGUCCCGUUACGUGCCACUCCGUUUCGAUUAACCGUGUCCCCUCCUAUCCAGUGUGCCAGUGUUGUGCUCCUUCUUCGUCGUGUUUAUCGUUUUCAAUCGUACUCGAACGUUCUCGCGUUCAGGUGUCGUGUAAACACCUGGCACCGUCGAUAACCAGUGACCGCGUGACGCCGGACGGAAAUCGAACAAAAUGACGUUUCAUCCGGUCGAGACUCGUUCUUCCGGGUCAUCGUUCGAUCGAACGAUCAUCCUGAUCACGAUCGAACUACAAUCAGUGAAUUAAUAAGUAAACGACAACGUGACACGCUGUAUCUCUUUCUCCGAACCACCCCCCGCACCUCUUCGCGAGACAGGAAAGCUGUCGGUUCGGUGUUUGUACAACAGUGUCGUGUGAUCGUUUGUGUACACGCAACGAGCAAAGCUUUCAUCGAGGACUAAAAGAUGCUUGGGGUGAAAGAGAGAAGAGUCUUGUACUUUGAAAAUACUGAACCGAUUUGGUUAGUGAAUUUCGUCGAUCGCGCGGUUCGUGUGAACGGUCCUUCGUGUGAUUGUGCGAUGGAGGCGAUGGAGUACAGUGCAACGUUCACGGAUCUACGACCGUACGAUUAGGGAGUGAACGCGCGUGUAAAUCAGCCACCAUCGUCGUGAACUGGUCAAGAAAAAGAAAGAAAGGCAUUGAAUCGCGUAAAGUGCGCGAUAUUUCAGUGACCCAUUGACUGCGAAGCGUAUAAAUGAAACCGCGUACCGCGACGUAUCGAUGUUUCCGAGAUCCCCACCCUCCCCGAGCGAAGCUGCACACGUAGAAAGGAUAAUGGGGUUAGAAUCGAGAAGUUAAACACGUGGGAUUUUAGACUCGAAUCUCUCUGCCGUGUCCAGACAAAUCCGGAAAGACGAGACAGAAGUUAAUUAAAGUCAAUGAUCGAGUCUAAUGGGAAAAGCAUCACGGGAAGGUUGCGUCGGGGAGGCGUGCAGUUAGCGCUCGAACAGGCCUAAAUGAAGAGAGAUCGUCACGGGGACAGGUGAUCGAUAGGGAUUGCGAGGAGCCGCGCAAUUCUGGAAUCGUGUGUGCGCUCGCGCGGAGAUCGCAGGCUGAUCGUGGCGGUAAAACGCGAGGGGAGGGACGGAGAGCAAGAUGGAACUCUUCCUGAUUCUCGUCUGUCUAAUUGCACCGCCCACCCUCUCGCUCUCGAUCAAGAGCAAGUUGAAUCCAAGGAUCGUUCAAACGCGGUACGGCGAGGUGCAGGGGUUAGUACGGUCCUUCGAGUACGCCAAGUUCCUCAAGCCGAUCGACGUCUAUCUUGGAAUACCGUACGCCACCCCACCGGUCGGGGGCAACAGAUUUUCACCGACCAGGGCACCCAGCCCGUGGGAAGGAGUCAGAUUAUCGGAUUCGGUCGGUCCAGUUUGUCCCCAAAAGCUGCCCGACAUCUCGAAUGAGCAAGAAGCACUGGAGCGUAUGCCGAAAGGCCGAUUAGAGUACUUGAAGAGGCUACUACCUCAUUUACGGAAUCAGAGCGAGGAUUGUCUCUACUUGAACAUCUACGCACCUGCUAUGGGCAUGGCGGACAGCGGUAGAAGGCAUCCGGUGUUACUCUAUAUCCACGGUGAGAGCUACGAUUGGGGCAGCGGAAACCCGUACGACGGUAGCGUGCUGGCCAGCUACACCGACCAAGUGAUCGUAACGAUGAACUACCGUCUGGGCGUGCUCGGCUUCCUGAACGCCAAUGUGGCGCCUCAGACGAAGGCAAGGGUCGCGAAUUAUGGUCUCAUGGAUCAGAUUGCGGCGCUUCACUGGGUCAAAGAGCAUAUCGCCUUGUUUGGCGGCGAUCCCAACAACGUGACGCUGAUGGGCCAAGGAACUGGCGCUGCUUGCGUUCAUUUUCUCGCCAUCAGCCCGACAGUCAUACGUGGUUUAUUCAAAAGAGCCAUCCUUCUGUCAGGAAGUGCUCUAUCGUCAUGGGCAGUGGUCGAGGAUCCUGUUUCGUACGCUUUGAAAUUGGCCAAAGCCGUCAACUGCUCAAUUCCUGAAGAUCUGCUCAAAGAUAACGAGCUGAUCGUCGAUUGCCUUCGAGAACGUAGCCUAGAAGAGUUGAUGCAGGUCGACAUCCAACCGCCAACUUUUCUCAGCGCGUUCGGACCCAGUGUGGAUGGCGUGGUCAUCAAACCGGAUUUCCAAAAGGAUCUCCUGUCCUACAUGGGUCCAGAGUUUCAAGGAUUUGGACCACUGCCAAAGAAGGCUGAACACGGUGCACCAAUUACAAGCAACAACAAGUAUGACCUGUUAUUUGGAGUAACGACGAGCGAGGCUUUGUGGAAAUUCGCAGAAAAGGAUGUUCAGCAAGGAUUCGAGGGCGAAAGAAGAGACAGGAUAAUCAGAACGUACGUGAGGAACGCGUACGUUUAUCAUCUCACGGAAAUAUUCUAUACCGUGGUGAACGAGUAUACGGAUUGGGAACGUACGGUCCAACAUCCGGUGAACACGAAAGACGCUUGCGUCCAGGCACUAAGCGACGCCCAAUUCGUGGCGCCGUUGGUGCAAACCGGUGAUUUAUUCACCCUGAGACACACAAAGAAACCGAACAACCCUCACAUAGCACCGGUGCCGGAAAGUGAAAAGGAACCGAUGCCCAAAACAUAUUUUUACGUGUUCGAUUAUCAGAUGAAGGACGGUGAUUAUCCCCAGAAAAUGGGCUCCGUUCAUGGUGAAGAGUUACCGUUCGUUUUCGGGGCUCCGUUAGUGGAUGGUUUCGGCCACUUCCCAAGAAACUACACCAGAUCUGAAGUGGCACUUUCCGAGAGCAUCGUACAGUACUUCGCCAACUUCGUCAGAACUGGGAACCCGAACGUGAUCGAUCACCAUGGUCGAAACGACACUCUGCUGCCUGCCAGCCGGGAGAAAAGCCGUUUCCGAAGUCUGACAUGGGAUCAAUACGACCCGGUGCAUCAGAAAUACCUGGAGAUCGGCUUACGACCAAAGAUGAAGAAUCAUUAUCGAGCUCAUCAACUAUCAGUCUGGUUACGUCUAGUACCAGAGCUUCAUCGAGCAGGAAUGGAGGACGUAGAUUCCAGGCACAAUUUAUUCCGGGGUCAUUCGGAUCCAAGUCUUUACGACGGUUCUGUAAGACCAGAUCCAUUGAGCAGGAUCAGCGAGGAAUUCAAAAGGAAGAACAUCACCACGGAACCACCAACUACAACCGACUACAACGCGGCCACAUGUGUCAGCUAUAUUCAAAGCACAAACCUUCAGACCGUUCAUAACGCUAGCACAGACACUCUGGCUAGUCUGGAUGCAGCUGGAUACGCGGCGUACUCGACAGCUCUGAGCGUCACGAUCGCGAUUGGCUGCAGCUUGUUGAUCCUGAACGUCCUCAUUUUCGCCGGCGUCUAUUAUCAGAGGGACAAAACGAGGCUCGAGGUGAAGAGCCUUCAGCAGCAACAAAUGUUGAAUCAACAGUGCGGUCCACGAGGAUUCACCGAGCUGAAGCAACCACCGCCCCCUCACUCGCAUUUCCCUGGAAGUGGUCAGGUCAUCGUCGACGUUGAAAAUGAGAUGUUAAGAAGGAACGUUAUGAAAGGUCCUCCGAACGAUCCCAACACGCUUCUCCAACAAGGCCAGGGAACUCAUACGUUGCCUCAUCAACAUCAUUAUCAAAAGCAACAUCAACAACAGCAUGCCACUCUUCCCCGAGCUUCCGUCAUACAGGACAUGAACGCACAAACCCAAGGUCCACCAAACGGGUCCAUACAUCUGACAGUACCAAGAGCACCACCACCCCCUCGAGCAAAGAGCCCACCCGAAAACCAGCCCCUGCUGCAAAGUGCCACCGUGUCGAGUCGCGUGUCCCAGGCUACCAUGAGCGAGAUGAGAGUGUGAUGCUUGGACCCCCCUCCGAAACCAGUCGUCCCGGAUGUUCUCACGGCAUCGACCUUACUUUAAAACUGCGUUUCGGUCCGAACACAGUUCGGAAAUCUCCUUUGGAAAUUUCGCGAACGGUAACACGUUCGUGUCGCCAUGACUUUCGACCUGUCCAGGUGAUGACGAGCUGAUAAUCAACGGAGGGGGGUGAACAGAGCUUUACUCUCGAUGCAGAAGAAGAAAAAAUCGAGUACCAGGCAAGCUGGGAGAAUGAAGAAGUGUAAUAAAGAACGUUCGUGACUUCGAUGGAUACCAAAAGAGGUGUUAACGGCAAGGGAGUGACGCUCAACAGCCAUUGAAUCGAUCAUGGAGACCCGUGUAUAAAAAAAAAAAAAAACUACUUAUCCACUACGAUGUUAGAUGUUCCUUGUACAUAAAAGAAAAAAAAGUGAAUUUAUACCAUAAGAAGAAAGCCAAAAAAGAACGUUUGCUACUUUCUAAGAGGACGUGUAACUCAUGUCGUGUCGCGUAUCGUUUGAUCGUCCAUUAAUUAUUUUCUUUAUUUCAGUCGUUCUUUAUUCUUCGAUCUGAUUGUGAACGUUACAUGAUGUAAGUGUGAAAGAUCAUUGUAAAACAUUAUUUGUCGACGAUCUGAUCGAUUCUGUUUGAUUGAUCGAAGAAAAUCUAAGCUUAAAUUAAUAAUGAAAAUUUCCUUUGCUUUCAAUUGGCUAACUUGUUAAUUACACAGAAGGAUUAAAAGUACUAAUGCAGUUUGCCUCUUGUAUAGAGGACACAAAGUACCGUCCAUAAGAAUUAUAUUUCUUUUUUCUUUCUGGAUACCCAUUAAUAUUUUAAUAUUUGAAAACUUAUACCUUUCGCCUAUUACAAAAAGAAAAGAAUUGAAACUAUUUUAGAUGAUCUUUCUUUCAUCGAUCAAACGUAUCGAUCUUCGAUGACAAAAAUCAUUCAUCCUCCAAUGCAUACAACUGCCAUUCAUCACGAUUUCAUUCUAAAUUCAGGAACAAUAAUCAAGGAACGUUCCCUCUCAACGGUAAUCGCGUCUGUGUAACGGUACAUGGUAAUUGCCAUUUUUUCUACGUUUUUGGUAACAUUGAGAAAUGGGAUCUCGUUUCAUUUUACCACGUACACUGUAAAAAGAUGAAUGCCAACAGAAUUAAAUAGGAAAAGCGAUCCCUAGGGAAACCCAGUGUGCUCGACAGUGUACGCUCGAGUGCAAUGUAGGUCUGUUAAAUAAAGGAAACCUAAACUGCACGUGAAUGUACACCGAGUCCCAAUUAAUCGUAGAAAUAACCAUCUUCGUGCAAAUGGAUCAUUUAAAGCCCAUGAUACCCUAAAAAUAUCGAAAAUGUUGAAAUGUUGAAAAGCGAUUCGUAUGAGAUCCAAGGUGUACGUGAUUUUUUGUAAAGAUAUACGUAUACAUAUAGGUGUAACAUAAAGACUAACGUAAAUCUGUUAUUAUUAUGCGUAAUGCACUGCCACAGGACUCGAAAAUUCAUGCAGGAUAACGAGAAAAAUCGUAAGAAUUUCUCUGGUCGGUUUGGAUCAUUAAGACUGUCCUUUGAUGUGCUUUUAUUCUUUGAAGCAACAUUUAGUGAUAAGUUCUGAGUAAUUUCUUUUGUUUUAUUAUAGAUUACAUAUAGCUCUACUAUUUUUUGAAGAUUUUAAUGUGUUUCGAAUGACUGAACAGAAUUAUUUAAGAAAAUUCUUCUCCAUUGUUAUUUUCCACUGUACCACGAAUCAAAAUACGCUUCAAAGGAUUAAUCACUUUCCCUGCUGUCAAAUAAUCAAAAUUUUCUUAACAAAAUCGCCGAGAAUAAUAAACUAAACAUCCAUUUUUAUGUUCUUUAUUAUAGAAUUGUAUUGUUUAUACAUAGAAAAGAAUAAAUCAAAAAUCUGAACCGCCAAACCGCCAUUCUGCGUUCGUAGCAGUGAACCUUUAAAGUUCUUCUGAACAAUUGAUUUAAGGGUUCGUUUUUAAUGAAAACUCUGUCGCGAGGACCGAGCUUAAAUGGGGAAAAUAGAGCGCGUGUUAAUAUAAAGAGAAUCAAAGUUUUUGUACAUAUAUUAAGCGAUUAAAGUAAAAAGAAAGAAUCAAAGAACUCGGUUUACGGUGUUCGUCAAGCUGUUUACAAACGAUUGAGAAAAACUAGUCGAACAUUUUCAAUAUAAUCGUUAUAAUGGAGCAGAGACACACGGAAUAAAGUAGCACAGAAUCAAAUGAUUAUUUUCUUUUUUUUUUCUACGAUCACUUGCGAAAAUAAUGGAACUUCGUGAAAGAAUUACAUAAUAAAAUAUCAUUAAGUACGGACAAUCCGAAUAUACUAAAAACUAAAUGAAAAGCGAGUAACAGUAGACGUAAUUAAGAACAAGCCAUGGUGGGUAAAAAAAAAAAAAGAAAAGGAAAAAGGGAAAGAACAACGCUAAUGGAAACAUUGAACCGAUUAAACAAGUGUUUAAGGAAAUUUAAAUAACAUAUAUUAAAGAUACAUAUUAUGGAUUGUAAUGAAUUUAUUAUGACGAAUAUUAUUAUAUUUAUGUGACUUUUAGCUGGUCUCGCACUCUGCCAGAAAGAUAUCCGGAAUAAAUUUUCUGGCCGAGGGUAAGGCUAUCUGUUAUGUUUAACGUUUCUGUUACCAAAUUGUAAAUAUAUAACAAAAUACAUGGAGAUAUUAAUUGUA
Molecule: non-coding RNA, 6596 nt
Organism: Osmia lignaria (orchard mason bee)
Lineage: Eukaryota; Metazoa; Arthropoda; Insecta; Hymenoptera; Megachilidae
Source: RefSeq, a predicted model, not a curated record